Molecule: transfer RNA, 70 nt
Filed under: Atherinomorus stipes (hardhead silverside)
Lineage: Eukaryota; Metazoa; Chordata; Actinopteri; Atheriniformes; Atherinidae
Description: tRNA-Gly
Rfam family: tRNA
About the family: Transfer RNA (tRNA) molecules are approximately 80 nucleotides in length. Their secondary structure includes four short double-helical elements and three loops (D, anti-codon, and T loops).
Source: RNAcentral
AUCUUUCUAGUAUUAUGCAGUACCAGUGACUUCCAAUCACUUAGUCUUGGUUCAAGUCCAAGGAAAGAUA